AUGGUGCUCUUUGGUUUACUAGUAAGUGUGCACGUGCAUUGCGUGUCUUCACUAAUAUUUCAGGUAGAUGCGAGAAUUUACUUCUCCAUCAUAGUAAACACUUGUUUUUUUAAAGAACAUAAUCUACAUAAAUUCACUUUGGCACAUGAAAGCAUAUGCUCUUGCCAUCGGAAAAACAUUUUAAAAUGUCAAAAAAAUUCUGAACAAAAAUUUGAUGUGUACCUUUUAAUAUUCUAUGUGCGCACGCCAAGUUUUUGUGGAAAACCGGCAUUUUCUGUGACUUGCGUAAAAAAGACAAAGAAAUGUCGUGAAAAGCCAUUUUUAACACUGAAUUUUGUCUUUUUCACACGCGACAUAAAAGCUGUUUUUUUCGUAAAACGACUUUGCGAGCACAUAGAAUGUCGAGGUGUACGCGCAAAACAUUUUGCCAGAAUUUUAUGA
Molecule: ribosomal RNA, 441 nt
Filed under: Triticum aestivum (bread wheat)
Lineage: Eukaryota; Viridiplantae; Streptophyta; Magnoliopsida; Poales; Poaceae
Description: partial small subunit ribosomal RNA
Source: RNAcentral